RNAcentral lists this ribosomal RNA (500 nucleotides) under uncultured bacterium. RNAcentral describes it as "bacterial SSU rRNA". It matches the Rfam family "Bacterial small subunit ribosomal RNA", at positions 10 to 507 of the family's 1533-position model. The record is from RNAcentral.
AGUUUGAUCAUGGCUCAGGAUGAACGCUGGCGGCAUGCCUAACACAUGCAAGUCGAACGGAAUCUUAUAUGUUCCUUGUCUCGAAUCUUUGCGGAUUAGAGCUACGGAACAAUAAGAUUUAGUGGCGGACGGGUGAGUAACACGUUGGUACCUACCCCUUAGUGGGGAAUAACUUCGAGAAAUCGAGGCUAAUACCGCAUAAUAUCUACGGAUUAAAGCAUUUAUGCGCUAAGGGAGGGGCCUGCGUCUGAUUAGCUAGUUGGUGAGGUAAAAGCUCACCAAGGCGACGAUCAGUAGCUGGAUCGAGAGGUUGACCAGCCACACUGGGACUGAGAUACGGCCCAGACUCCUACGGGAGGCAGCAGUGAGGAAUCUUCCACAAUGGACGAAAGUCUGAUGGAGCAAUGCCGCGUGCAGGAUGACGGCCUUCGGGUUGUAAACUGCUUUUAUAUGGGAAGAUUAUGACGGUACCAUAUGAAUAAGGACCGGCUAACUACGUG